RNAcentral lists this ribosomal RNA (159 nucleotides) under uncultured Thelephoraceae. RNAcentral describes it as "5.8S ribosomal RNA". It matches the Rfam family "5.8S ribosomal RNA". From Rfam's summary of the family: 5.8S ribosomal RNA (5.8S rRNA) is a component of the large subunit of the eukaryotic ribosome. Lineage: Eukaryota; Fungi; Basidiomycota; Agaricomycetes; Thelephorales; Thelephoraceae. The record is from RNAcentral.
CAACUUUCAGCAACGGAUCUCUUGGCUCUCGCAUCGAUGAAGAACGCAGCGAAAUGCGAUAAGUAAUGUGAAUUGCAGAAUUCAGUGAAUCAUCGAAUCUUUGAACGCACCUUGCGCCCCUUGGCUAUUCCUCGGGGCAUGCCUGUUUGAGUAUCAUGA